CAGCAGCCACGGUAAUACGGAGGGUGCAAGCGUUAAUCGGAAUUACUGGGCGUAAAGCGCACGCAGGCGGUCUGUCAAGUCAGAUGUGAAAUCCCCGGGCUUAACCUGGGAACUGCAUUUGAAACUGGCAGGCUAGAGUCUUGUAGAGGGGGGUAGAAUUCCAGGUGUAGCGGUGAAAUGCGUAGAGAUCUGGAGGAAUACCGGUGGCGAAGGCGGCCCCCUGGACAAAGACUGACGCUCAGGUGCGAAAGCGUGGGGAGCAAACAGGAUUAGAUACCCGGGUAGUCCCUGUCUCUUAUAC
RNAcentral lists this ribosomal RNA (301 nucleotides) under uncultured bacterium. RNAcentral describes it as "partial 16S ribosomal RNA". It matches the Rfam family "Bacterial small subunit ribosomal RNA", at positions 509 to 807 of the family's 1533-position model. The record is from RNAcentral.